GAUGAACGCUGGCGGUGUGCCUAAUACAUGCAAGUCGAGCGAACGGACGAGAAGCUUGCUUCUCUGAUGUUAGCGGCGGACGGGUGAGUAACACGUGGAUAACCUACCUAUAAGACUGGGAUAACUUCGGGAAACCGGAGCUAAUACCGGAUAAUAUUUUGAACCGCAUGGUUCAAAAGUGAAAGACGGUCUUGCUGUCACUUAUAGAUGGAUCCGCGCUGCAUUAGCUAGUUGGUAAGGUAACGGCUUACCAAGGCAACGAUGCAUAGCCGACCUGAGAGGGUGAUCGGACACACUGGAACUGAGACACGGUCCAGACUCCUACGGGAGGCAGCAGUAGGGAAUCUUCCGCAAUGGGCGAAAGCCUGACGGAGCAACGCCGCGUGAGUGAUGAAGGUCUUCGGAUCGUAAAACUCUGUUAUUAGGGAAGAACAUAUGUGUAAGUAACUGGGCACAUCUUGACGGUACCUAAUCAGAAAGCCACGGCUAACUACGUG
RNAcentral lists this ribosomal RNA (497 nucleotides) under uncultured bacterium. RNAcentral's name for it is "partial 16S ribosomal RNA". It matches the Rfam family "Bacterial small subunit ribosomal RNA", at positions 28 to 507 of the family's 1533-position model. The record is from RNAcentral.